UUUUGAAUACGUAGCCCUACCCACAAAUUCAUAAUCCGUGCGCACGCUUUCGCAAUCCGUUCCCUACACUGUAAAAUUUUUCCAGGAUUUCACAAGAUAUAACUGUAAUAUUUCACAGUUAAUUACAUUAUUACCACUUCACAGGCUUUAACUGUGAUAAUUCACAAUAUAAUACCGUAUUUAGACUUUUACUGUGAAAAUAAUGCAGGCGCGGGGCUUUUACAAGAAACUACUGUGAAUGCCGUCUUUUUUGAGUGGCAACUGCGGCAGCGUCAUCAGAGCUCUCUGAUCUACGUGGUCUCAUUCGGUGGAUUCAGACAGCGCAUUUUCUACAUUGACCGACGAUAAAUAAAGUUAUAAGGUGCUUCUUGGGCAUCAACCCAGAGACGGGCACAAAAUCUAAGAGGCAGAGAGGUCACAUGAACCAGCAAGUCUGCACUCAUUGUCAUUGACUUCGAAUGGAUGUCAAUCUAAUGUAAGCUGUGUUCCAAUUUAAGAACGGACUAAUGAAACACAGUAUCUGUGUUAAAGGAACAUGCUGACUUUUUGUGACUUUAUCUUAUUCCCCGUAUCCCCCAGAGUUAGAUAAGUCUAUACAUACCCUUCUCAUCUCCGUGCUUGCCGUAAGUCUGUCUGAGGCACCCACCGCUAGCCUAGCUUAGCACAAAGACUGGAGCACCUGAGAAGCCCUGUGGUGAGGAGCAGAGAGUUUGCUCAGAAUUGGAGUAAAUCACUCCAAAGAAGUAGCAGUGCUUCGCCUUCUGAGAAUAUAGUUCCCAGUAUGUAUACAGUUAGAAGAUGGUUGUGUCUCAUAUGACCUUGUUAUUUGUACACACUGUGACUAUACAAAUCACAACAUGUAAAUAGGAAAAUGUUGGCGUUAUUUU
Long non-coding RNA from Carassius auratus (goldfish), 887 nucleotides. RefSeq lists it as uncharacterized. The record is from RefSeq and is a predicted model, not a curated record. The transcript is spliced from 4 exons. Lineage: Eukaryota; Metazoa; Chordata; Actinopteri; Cypriniformes; Cyprinidae.